This is a small nucleolar RNA of Hyla sarda, 597 nucleotides long. RefSeq annotates it as small nucleolar RNA snR86. The record is from RefSeq and is a predicted model, not a curated record. NCBI's taxonomy places the organism in Eukaryota, Metazoa, Chordata, Amphibia, Anura, Hylidae. The transcript has a single exon.
UUAAUCCCCUUGUGCUAUUAUUCCCCCUCCAUCUUAAUCUCCUUGUGCUAUUAUUCCCCCUCCAUCUUAAUCGCCUUGUGCCAUUAUUCCCCCCCCCUUCCUCUGAUCCCCUUUUGCCAUUUUUCCCACUCUAAAUUAAUCCCCUUGUGCCAUUAUUAUCCGAUAUGGCAAAAGGGGAUCAGAGGAAGGGGGAAUGGGGCAAGGGGAUUAAAAUGGAGGGGGUGGGGGGAAAUGGCGCAAGAGGAUCAGAGGGAGGGAGGAAUAAUGGCACAAGAGAUUAAGAUGGAGGGGGAGUUUGAUUAUCCCCCCUCCAUCUUAAUCCCCUUGUGCCAUUAUUCCCCCUCCAUCUUAAUCCCCCUGUGCUAUUAUUCCUCCGCCAUUUGAAUCCCCUUGUGCUAUUAUUCCCCCCUCCCUCUGAUACCCUUUUGCCAUAUUGGAUAAUAAUGGCACAAGGGGAUUAAGAUUGACGGGGAAUAAUGGCACAAGGGGAUUAAGAGGAAGGGGGGGGGGGAAUAGUGGCACGAGGGGAUUAAAAUGGAUGGGGGGGAAUAGUGGCACAAGGGGAUUAAAAUGGAGGGGGAUAAUAGCACAAGGGGA